CAUACCCCGAAAAUGUAGGUUAAACCCCUACCGUCACUA
This 39-nucleotide transfer RNA is filed under the name Archolaemus blax. RNAcentral describes it as "partial tRNA-Met". Lineage: Eukaryota; Metazoa; Chordata; Actinopteri; Gymnotiformes; Sternopygidae. The record is from RNAcentral. RNAcentral also lists the same sequence under 6 other names.